GCAGUAAUGGCAGGUCAGCAUACUGCCGUGAAUACGUUCCCGGGCCUUGUACACACCGCCCGUCACACCAUGAGAGUUAGGAAUACCCGAAGCCUGUGAGCUAACUUUAAUAGAGGCAGCAGUCGAAGGUAGAACUAAUGAUUGGGGUGAAGUCGUAACAAGGUAGC
This 167-nucleotide ribosomal RNA is filed under the name uncultured bacterium. RNAcentral describes it as "partial 16S ribosomal RNA". It matches the Rfam family "Bacterial small subunit ribosomal RNA", at positions 1335 to 1500 of the family's 1533-position model. The record is from RNAcentral.